GCCAGUGUGGUGUAGUGGUUUGAGUGUUGGACUAGGAUGCUAGAGACCAGGGUUCAAAUCCCCACUCAGCCA
This is a non-coding RNA of Phrynosoma platyrhinos (Desert horned lizard), 72 nucleotides long. The record is from the annotation of a GenBank genome assembly. Lineage: Eukaryota; Metazoa; Chordata; Lepidosauria; Squamata; Phrynosomatidae.